RNAcentral lists this ribosomal RNA (229 nucleotides) under uncultured bacterium. Its description in RNAcentral is "partial 16S ribosomal RNA". It matches the Rfam family "Bacterial small subunit ribosomal RNA", at positions 568 to 796 of the family's 1533-position model. The record is from RNAcentral.
UCCGUAGGCGGGCGAUUAAGUCAGAGGUGAAAUCCCACAGCUCAACUGUGGAACUGCCUUUGAUACUGGUUGUCUUGAGUUACAGUGAAGUAGAUAGAAUAUGUAGUGUAGCGGUGGAAUGCAUAGAUAUUACAUAGAAUACCGAUUGCGAAGGCAGUCUACUAACUGUAUACUGACGCUGAUGGACGAAAGCGUGGGGAGCGAACAGGAUUAGAUACCCUGGUAGUCC